Molecule: small RNA, 166 nt
Filed under: bovine gut metagenome
Also listed under: 1 other name
Description: Bacteroidales-1 6S-Bacteroidales RNA suggested
Rfam family: Bacteroidales-1 6S-Bacteroidales RNA suggested
Source: RNAcentral
UGAUUGGGAUACUCUUCAAACUAAAAUGAAAUGCCGAGUAAAGCAAUUCAUUCCAAUGGCGGGCCUCAACCGAGAAAUCGGAGCUUUAUGCCGGAGGAUUACAAAGGGGUGAAUGCUCUCAAAUCCUGUAUUUAUCGGAGUUUCAACAAAUCCCUUUGGUGUGGCU